ACCAGCAUCACCAUUACCCAGGAGCUGGCUAGAGAUACAGACUCUUAGAUCCUACCCCAGAUCUACUGAACCAGACUCUGCCCUUUCACAAGAUCUCCAGGUGAUUCCAAGGAAGAUUAAAGUUUGAGAAUCAGUGACCUAGAGACAACUGGAAAUGAGAACCUGAAGCAUCUAAAAUAAAUUUGAGCUAGAGGUGUAACUGAGUGCAAUCCACAUUCCACAGGUUUCUCAAGUGUGGUCCCUGGACCAGGAGCAUCACCGUCACAUGGGAACUUUUUAAGAAAUGCAGAUGCUUGAGACUCAGUCAAGAGCUACUGAAUCAGAAACUAUCAAAGGGGCCCCGAAAUCUGUGUUUUAACAACCCUGGAUAUGAUUCUCAUACACAUCAAAGUUUGGGAGCUACUGCCACAAACCAGUGAAUUGCAAUUAUAGGAGUUAUUAUUCUCCUGAAAGAAGGAAGAGAGGAAGAUGUGGAUGCUUAUAAUAUCGUUCCUAUGAGAAAUACCACCUGUUUCAUGGCGAUUUCCUUUACGCUGCAUUUUCUAGAAUGCACAUGGGGAAAAUCAUGGCUUGGCUGAGGACUAUUUUCACCACUGUGCUGAUGACCUCGCCAAUCUGCUUUUCUAUCUAGUGAAAGUACUAGGACGGUGCUGUGGGUAAAGAUGCAGGGGACAGAAAGGGAGGCAGACAUCCAAAAAUGGCUUUGCAUUGUGCCAACCUGAGCCUGCUGGGGUUUACUGCGCUUGGAGCACUGUGCUUCUACAGGCGGCCUCAUUUCUCGCCUUGUGGUCCCUUCCUCCACCUCCAAAGCCAGCAGCAUGACGUCAGAUUUCCCUCUGACUCUUCUGCUUGUUCUCUUCCACGUAUAAGGAUCCUUACAAUUACCUAAGGCCCACUCCAAUAAUCCAGGAUAAUCUCCCCGUCUCAAGGCAGCCCCGCCUCUCAAAAUACACUCUCACCUCUUGGGGUUGUUGGUACUGAGAAGCCAUCAGAAGGAAAGUCCGCUGAGCCUGGAAAGCGCUAUGCACCAUCUCCGCCUGGGAACCAAGAGGAAGAGGGAAGUUCAGAUGUUUGAGCUUCAGAACAAAGGGUGACCAUAUGAUCCAGCAAUUCCAUCCCUAGAUAUGAACCCCAAAUUGAAAACAUAUGUCCACACAAAGCCUUGCUAAUCGAUGUUCGCAGCAGCAUUAUUCAUGAUAGUCAAGAUGUAGAGACAACCAGAAUGUUCAUUAAGGGAUGAAUGGAUAAACAAAAUGUGACAUAUCAAUACAAUGGGAUAUUAGUCGGCAUUAAAAAGAGACGAAGUGCUGAUAUAUGCCAGAAUGUGGGUGACCCUUGGAAACAUGCUGAGUGAAGGAAGCCGGUCAAAAAAGACCACAUGUGUAUGAUUCCAUUGAUAUGAAAUGUCCAGAAUAAGCAAAUCUACAGAGACAGAAAGGACACUCGUGGUUGCCUGGGGCUGGUGGGAGAGAGGAAUGGAGUAUGAGGUUUCUUUUGGGGGUGAUGCUGGAAUCAGAUAAUGCUGGUGCUUUCACAACUUGGGGAAUCUACUAAAAACCACCGAAUUGCUCAUGUUAAAAGAGUGAAUGUUAUUCUGUGGGAAUGACAUCUCAAUAAA
Zalophus californianus (California sea lion) is the source of this 1618-nucleotide long non-coding RNA. RefSeq lists it as uncharacterized. The record is from RefSeq and is a predicted model, not a curated record. The transcript is spliced from 3 exons. Lineage: Eukaryota; Metazoa; Chordata; Mammalia; Carnivora; Otariidae.